UACGGAGGAUCCAAGCGUUAUCCGGAAUCAUUGGGUUUAAAGGGUCCGUAGGCGGUUAGAUAAGUCAGUGGUGAAAGCCCAUCGCUCAACGGUGGAACGGCCAUUGAUACUGUUUAACUUGAAUUAUUAGGAAGUAACUAGAAUAUGUAGUGUAGCGGUGAAAUGCUUAGAGAUUACAUGGAAUACCAAUUGCGAAGGCAGGUUACUACUAAUGGAUUGACGCUGAUGGACGAAAGCGUGGGUAGCGAACAGG
This 253-nucleotide ribosomal RNA is filed under the name uncultured bacterium. RNAcentral describes it as "partial 16S ribosomal RNA". It matches the Rfam family "Bacterial small subunit ribosomal RNA", at positions 524 to 776 of the family's 1533-position model. The record is from RNAcentral.